UGGGGAAUUUUGGACAAUGGGCGAAAGCCUGAUCCAGCCAUGCCGCGUGAGUGAAGAAGGCCUUCGGGUUGUAAAGCUCUUUUAGUCGGAAAGAAAGAGUUGCAAUGAAUAAUUGUGAUUGAUGACGGUACCGACAGAAAAAGCACCGGCUAACUACGUGCCAGCAGCCGCGGUAAUACGUAGGGUGCGAGCGUUAAUCGGAAUUACUGGGCGUAAAGGGUGCGCAGGCGGUCUUGCAAGUCAGAUGUGAAAGCCCCGGGCUUAACCUGGGAAGUGCGUUUGAAACUACAAGGCUAGAGUGCAGCAGAGGGGAGUGGAAUUCCAUGUGUAGCAGUGAAAUGCGUAGAGAUGUGGAAGAACACCGAUGGCGAAGGCAGCUCCCUGGGUUGACACUGACGCUCAUGCACGAAAGCGUGGGGAGCAAACA
RNAcentral lists this ribosomal RNA (427 nucleotides) under uncultured bacterium. Its description in RNAcentral is "bacterial SSU rRNA". It matches the Rfam family "Bacterial small subunit ribosomal RNA", at positions 355 to 774 of the family's 1533-position model. The record is from RNAcentral.